RNAcentral lists this ribosomal RNA (577 nucleotides) under uncultured bacterium. Its description in RNAcentral is "bacterial SSU rRNA". It matches the Rfam family "Bacterial small subunit ribosomal RNA", at positions 102 to 679 of the family's 1533-position model. The record is from RNAcentral.
ACGGGUGAGUAAUGCGUAGGAACCUACCCGAGAGAGGGGGACAACCAAGGGAAACUUUGGCUAAUACCGCAUAAACUCGGAAGAGAAAAGUUGCCCGCGAGGGUGACGCUUUUGGAGGGGCCUGCGUCCGAUUAGCUAGUUGGUAGGGUAAAAGCCUACCAAGGCAAAGAUCGGUAACUGGUCUGAGAGGACGACCAGUCACACUGGGACUGAGACACGGCCCAGACUCCUACGGGAGGCAGCAGUGGGGAAUCUUGGACAAUGGGGGCAACCCUGAUCCAGCGAUGCCGCGUGGGUGAAGAAGGCCUUCGGGUUGUAAAGCCCUUUAGGUUGGGAAGAAGUGUGUUGUCUGAUAAGGAUGAUGCAUUGACGGUACCGACAGAAUAAGCACCGGCAAACUCUGUGCCAGCAGCCGCGGUAAUACAGAGGGUGCGAGCGUUAAUCGGAGUUACUGGGCGUAAAGGGCGCGUAGGCGGAUAUAUGAGUGUGAUGUGAAAGCCCUGGGCUUAACCUGGGAAGUGCAUCGCAAACGAUAUAUCUGGAGUACAAGAGAGGGUGGCGGAAUUUCCGGUGUAGC